RNAcentral lists this ribosomal RNA (1057 nucleotides) under uncultured Alphaproteobacteria bacterium. RNAcentral's name for it is "bacterial SSU rRNA". It matches the Rfam family "Bacterial small subunit ribosomal RNA", at positions 9 to 1072 of the family's 1533-position model. Lineage: Bacteria; Pseudomonadati; Pseudomonadota; Alphaproteobacteria. The record is from RNAcentral.
GAGUUUGAUCCUGGCUCAGAGCGAACGCUGGCGGCGUGCUUAACACAUGCAAGUCGCACGGGCGGGUCUGGCUUCGGCUGGGUCUGUCAGUGGCGGACGGGUGAGUAACGCGUGGGAACCUGUCCUGGAGUGGGGGAUAACCCGGGGAAACUCGGGCUAAUACCGCAUACGCCCUUGGUGGGGGAAAGGCUUGUGGGGGGAAACUUCUGCAGGUCGCUCUUGGGGGGGCCCGCGUCCGAUUAGCUGGUUGGUGGGGUAAUGGCCUACCAAGGCUGUGAUCGGUAGCCGGUCUGAGAGGAUGGUCGGCCACACCGGGACUGAGACACGGCCCGGACUCCUACGGGAGGCAGCAGUGGGGAAUCUUGGACAAUGGGCGCAAGCCUGAUCCAGCGACGCCGCGUGGGGGAUGAAGGCCUUCGGGUUGUAAACCCCUUUUCCUGGGGACGAUGAUGACGGUACCUGGGGAAUAAGCACCGGCCAACUCCGUGCCAGCAGCCGCGGUAAGACGGGGGGUGCUAGCGUUGCUCGGAAUCACUGGGCAUAAAGGGCGCGUAGGCGGCCUCGUGCGUCGGGCGUGCAAGCCCGGGGCUCAACCUCGGAAGGGCGUUCGAUACGGCGGGGCUUGAGGCCGGAAGAGGAGGGUGGAAUUCCCAGUGUAGAGGUGAAAUUCGUAGAUAUUGGGAGGAACACCGGUGGCGAAAGCGGCUCUCUGGUCCGGUCCUGACGCUGAGGCGCGAAAGCGUGGGGAGCAAACAGGAUUAGAUACCCUGGUAGUCCACGCCCUAAACGAUAUGCGCUAGCCGUCGGGGGGCUUGCUCUUCGGUGGCGUAGCUAACGCGUGAAGCGCACCGCCUGGGGAGUACGGCCGCAAGACUAAAACUCAAAGGAAUUGACGGGGGCCCGCACAAGCGGUGGAGCAUGUGGUUUAAUUCGACGCAACGCGCAGAACCUUACCAGCCCUUGACAUGGCGGGUUGCGGUUCCGGGAGACCGGGGCCAGCGGUUCGGCCGGGCCCGUCACAGGUGCUGCAUGGCUGUCGUCAGCUCGUGUCGUGAGA